GUGCAUCAAUUCCAAACUAAAUCAAGAAAUAGAACCAAACUGAAUAAAAAAUACACCCAAACUAAUUCCAAAAAUGUUCAUGUGGUGCACCAAUUCCACAAGUUCUUCCUCUUUCACUUUCUUCUUUCCUGCAUUAACAUUAAAUAAACAAAACGUUUAGAAUCAACCCAAACCAGAAUUUUCCUAAAUCAAAACAGAACAAAAAUUUCAAAAUUAAAAAAAACAAAAUCAGAAUCAACCCUAUACCAGAAUUUUGCAAGAAAGUAAAGAAAUACAACCAAACUAAUUCCAAAAAUUUUGCAAAAAUGGUGCACCAAUUCCAAACUAAAUCAAGAAAUAAAACCAAAAAAGCAAAAUAAGAAUCAACCCUAAACCAGAAUUUUCCUAAAUCAAAACAGAACAAAAAUUUCAAAAUUAAAAAAGCAAAAUCAGAAUCAACCCUAAACAAGAAUUUCCCUAAAUCAAAACAGAACAAAAAUUUCAAAAUUAAAAAAGCAAAAUCAGAAUCAAUAAAUUAAAAUCAAUAAAAAGACUAAACCAGAAUUAAUAAAAAUAGAAUCGGAACAAAAAAAACUACCUGAGACUUAGGCUCCAUUGCAGAGGACGAUGGAGGUGUAGGAUGGUAAGACGGCGGCGACGACGAACCAAAGACCAGAGAGACUGGACAGAUCAACGACGAACGAGAGACGGACGAUGAACGGUGGUUGCUUUGACUGCGUCUGGUGCGUGCUGCUGCGGUUC
RNAcentral lists this long non-coding RNA (741 nucleotides) under Arachis ipaensis. RNAcentral's name for it is "long non-coding RNA (AIPA_LNC001407)". Lineage: Eukaryota; Viridiplantae; Streptophyta; Magnoliopsida; Fabales; Fabaceae. The record is from RNAcentral.